CAAUAGCGUAUAUUAAAGUUGUUGCAGUUAAAAAGCUCGUAGUUGGAUUUGUGGCGUACGGUGUGUUCCGGGCACUUGUUGUCUGAGUAACCUGCUGUUGCCAUCCUUGGGUGGAACCUGUGUGGCAUUAGGUUGUCGUGCAGGGGAUGCCCAUCAUUUACUGUGAAAAAAUUAGAGUGUUCAAAGCAGGCUUAUGCCGUUGAAUAUAUUAGCAUGGAAUAAUGAGAUAGGUCUUUUUUGCUAUUUUGUUGGUUUGCGCAAAGAGGUAAUGAUUAAUAGGGACAGUUGGGGGUAUUCGUAUUCCAUUGUCAGAGGUGAAAUUCUUGGAUUUUUGGAAGACGAACUACUGCGAAAGCAUUUACCAAGGAUGUUUUCAUUAA
Molecule: ribosomal RNA, 380 nt
Filed under: uncultured eukaryote
Lineage: Eukaryota
Description: partial 18S ribosomal RNA
Rfam family: Eukaryotic small subunit ribosomal RNA
Source: RNAcentral